AGCAGCCGCGGUAAUUCCAGCUCCAAUAGCGUAUAUUAAAGUUGUUGCAGUUAAAAGCUCGUAGUUGAAUUUCGGGAUCAGUAGGUCGGUCAUGCCUAUGGUAUGUACUGGUCUCACUGGCUCCUCCUUCCUGAUGAACCGUAAUGCCAUUAAUUUGGUGUUGCGGGGAAACUGGACUGUUACUUUGAAAAAUUAGAGUGUUUAAAGCAGGCUAACGCUUGAAUACAUUAGCAUGGAAUAAUGAAAUAGGACGAUCGAUCCUAUUUUGUUGGUUUCUAGGAUUGACGUAAUGAUUAAUAGGGAUAGUUGGGGGCAUUAGUAUUCAAUUGUCAGAGGUGAAAUUCUUGGAUUUAUUGAAGACUAACUACUGCGAAAGCAUUUGCCAAGGAUGUUUUCAUUAAUCAAGAACGAAAGUUAGGGGAUCGAAGACGAUCAGAUACCGUCGUAGUC
This 450-nucleotide ribosomal RNA is filed under the name uncultured Glomeromycotina. RNAcentral describes it as "SSU rRNA". It matches the Rfam family "Eukaryotic small subunit ribosomal RNA", at positions 569 to 1025 of the family's 1831-position model. Lineage: Eukaryota; Fungi; Glomeromycota. The record is from RNAcentral.